RNAcentral lists this long non-coding RNA (82 nucleotides) under Fukomys damarensis (Damara mole-rat). RNAcentral describes it as "lncRNA (ENSFDAG00000022715.1)". Lineage: Eukaryota; Metazoa; Chordata; Mammalia; Rodentia; Bathyergidae. The record is from RNAcentral.
CUAGAAUCUUGAUUUAAAAAAAGAAAAAAACAAAACCAACAACCAAGGAAACUGGUAUUCAAGAAAAUAGAUGAUGCAGAAG